This is a long non-coding RNA of Panicum virgatum (switchgrass), 464 nucleotides long. RefSeq lists it as uncharacterized. NCBI's taxonomy places the organism in Eukaryota, Viridiplantae, Streptophyta, Magnoliopsida, Poales, Poaceae. The record is from RefSeq and is a predicted model, not a curated record. The transcript is spliced from 3 exons.
UAAUAGGAACCCCUUCCAUUCCAAGCUGGCUGCUGCUGUGCUUGGUGGUGUUGACAACAUCUGGAUUGCUCCUGGUACUCGUGUGCUGUAUCUCGGUGCUACUUCUGGCACAACUGUGUCUAAUGGGUCUGAUAUUGUUGGACCAGAAAGGGUUGGUUUAUGCUGUUGAGUUCUCUCACAGGAGUGGUAGGGAUCUUGUCAAUAUGGCAAAGAAGAGAACCAAUGUGAUCCCCAUUAUUGCUAAAGGGGACUUUCAUCAUGAAAGUGCUUUUUUUUCUGUCGUUCUCUUAGCAGCAGGAGAUUAUUGAAUCUCUAGCAGGUGGGCGAGCUUGGAUUUUUUUUUUUUUCCAAUUAGACUGAUCUAUCUCUUUUCUUCUCCCCGGUAGGAAUUUUAGAAGUCUCAAGUUACUUGUAGUAAUUAGAAGAGUAAAAGUUAAAAAAGCUUCUGAUUCGUACCUGCUUUC